AUACGAAGGGGGCUAGCGUUGUUCGGAAUUACUGGGCGUAAAGCGCGCGUAGGCGGACUGAUCAGUUGGGGGUGAAAUCCCAGGGCUUAACCCUGGAACUGCCUCCAAUACUGUCAGUCUUGAGUUCGGGAGAGGUGAGUGGAAUUCCUAGUGUAGAGGUGAAAUUCGUAGAUAUUAGGAAGAACACCAGUGGCGAAGGCGGCUCACUGGCCCGAUACUGACGCUGAGGCGCGAAAGCGUGGGGAGCAAACAGGAUUAGAAACCCCAGUAGUCCC
RNAcentral lists this ribosomal RNA (275 nucleotides) under uncultured bacterium. RNAcentral's name for it is "partial 16S ribosomal RNA". It matches the Rfam family "Bacterial small subunit ribosomal RNA", at positions 523 to 797 of the family's 1533-position model. The record is from RNAcentral.